CACGCCGUAAACGAUGAUAACUAGCUGUCCGGGUUCAUGGAACUUGGGUGGCGCAGCUAACGCAUUAAGUUAUCCGCCUGGGGAGUACGGUCGCAAGAUUAAAACUCAAAGGAAUUGACGGGGGCCCGCACAAGCGGCGGAGCAUGCGGAUUAAUUCGAUGCAACGCGAAGAACCUUACCAAGGCUUGACAUAUAGAGGAAACGGCCAGAGAUGGUCGCCCCGCAAGGUCUCUAUACAGGUGG
Molecule: ribosomal RNA, 243 nt
Filed under: uncultured bacterium
Lineage: Bacteria
Description: partial 16S ribosomal RNA
Rfam family: Bacterial small subunit ribosomal RNA
Source: RNAcentral